CAAAAUUGUUUUAAAACAUUUCUUACUCUAAUAUGUUGAAGAAAUGUUAUUUGAACAUGAGUAAAUGUUAACUCAGGAAGUUACUAUAAAUUCAACUGAGUUGCAUUGUUUGGGGUUAACCAAAGAGGGAUCAUAACAAAAUUUUCUUCUAUUUAAACAGCACCUAGAUGUUAAUAUUAAAAUAUAUUAUCCCCCUUGAAUGAAGAAAAUGACACAUUAUAUUCUACAGAACUGUAACAAUUAUAGACCCGUCAUUAUAAAGCUAAAUAAAAGAGUGCAACGAGAGAGUACACUAUACAUAGACAAAUGUAUGGAUGAAGUCAAAGUAAAAUAGAUGAGAAUUAUCCCCCUUGAUUGAAGAAAAUCAAACAUUGUAACUUCUAAAGUAAUGCAACAAAUAUAGACCCGUUUUUAGAAAGUUUAAAAAGAGUUACUAUGAAAGAGAUUACAUUCUACAUUGACAAAUAUUUCUUCUUAUGUAUGGAUGAAGUAAAAGUAUAAUAGAUAGUUAUGUCCCUUGAAUGAAUAAAAUCAGGCAAUCUAACUUUCCACAGAACUGUUACAUUUAUAGACCCGUCAUUAGAAAGCUAAAUAAAAAGAGAAACAAUAAGAGAGUAAAUUAUCCGUAGACAAAUUUUUUUUUCUUAUGUAUGGAUGGAUGAAGAAAACAUGCUUACCUAUAAUUAACAACAAAUAUUUCCAUAAAUGUUAACAAAAUGUAAUGAAAAAAAUAACAAUAAUAUUGCACAUGAUUUCUGACCUCCACACGGAAGCCAUUGUAAAGUAAAUAUUGUUCUAUAUACAUGACAACAACAAAACAUAGCAUCUUAACACAGUGGCUCAAUACUUCAACAGUUUCAUCAGAUCUGUACUCAUUAAUAUACCAUAUCCCUUUGUUUCUAUUUUAUAGAGUGCAAACAUGCCAUGGCAUACACACCAUAUUCAUCUAUCAUUAGGUAUUCAAUCAAACAAACUUUAUCUUUAAAUGACCAAUUUGAAACUGAAAACAAGAAAAUGUUAUCAUCAUUUCAGAGUUUUGUCAUAAAAUCAGAAAAAGAUUGUUUUUAAACCUAAUUUAUUUCUUCAAAAUACUAUAUUCAAGAAGUCGACAACAAAACAUCUAUUUUAAAUGUCUAUAACAAUUAUAUAUGCGACAUUGAAAAUGUCAUUUCUUUUCAAAAGAUUUUUGACAUGUUCAUGUGUAUUUUAAACCAUAAACAUUAUAUUUCUAACAUUUAUAAAAAUUAACAAACAAUAUAUCACUAGUAACACAAUUCUUAACAAUAUGUCAUUCAUUUUUUUAAUCUUGAACAUCAUAACAUUUAUUUGUUCAGCAGAUGAUAAAAUAUUUUUGACAUUCCCUCUAUAAAACAACAGUGUAUACUCUAACAACCAUGACACUUGUAAACCAUAUCUUUAUAAAUUUUUGCAUGAUACAUUUUAAGCAAAAAAUAUAUAUUUUUCACAAUACAGAUUUUUAUACAAAU
This 1487-nucleotide long non-coding RNA is filed under the name Mytilus galloprovincialis (Mediterranean mussel). Lineage: Eukaryota; Metazoa; Mollusca; Bivalvia; Mytilida; Mytilidae. The record is from RNAcentral.